RNAcentral lists this transfer RNA (75 nucleotides) under Halcyon coromanda (ruddy kingfisher). Its description in RNAcentral is "tRNA-Trp". It matches the Rfam family "tRNA". From Rfam's summary of the family: Transfer RNA (tRNA) molecules are approximately 80 nucleotides in length. Their secondary structure includes four short double-helical elements and three loops (D, anti-codon, and T loops). The record is from RNAcentral. Lineage: Eukaryota; Metazoa; Chordata; Aves; Coraciiformes; Alcedinidae.
AGAAACUUAGGAUAGCCGUUACCAAACCGAAGGCCUUCAAAGCCUUAAACAAGAGUUGAACCCUCUUAGUUUCUG